This 253-nucleotide ribosomal RNA is filed under the name uncultured bacterium. Its description in RNAcentral is "partial 16S ribosomal RNA". It matches the Rfam family "Bacterial small subunit ribosomal RNA", at positions 524 to 776 of the family's 1533-position model. The record is from RNAcentral.
UACGUAGGGUGCAAGCGUUAAUCGGAAUUACUGGGCGUAAAGCGUGCGCAGGCGGUUAUGUAAGACAGAUGUGAAAUCCCCGGGCUUAACCUGGGAACUGCAUUUGUGACUGCAUGGCUAGAGUGCGGCAGAGGGGGAUGGAAUUCCGCGUGUAGCAGUGAAAUGCGUAGAUAUGCGGAGGAACACCGAUGGCGAAGGCAAUCCCCUGGGCCUGCACUGACGCUCAUGCCCGAAAGCGUGGGGAGCAAACAGG